GACGAACGCUGGCGGCGCGCUUAACACAUGCAAGUCGAACGGAAGGGCCUGCUUUCCCUUGUGGAUUGCGGGUACUCGAGUGGCGAACGGGUGAGUAACACGUGAGUGAUCUGCCCCCAACUUGGGUAUAAGCCUGGGAAACUGGGUCUAAUUCCCGAUAGGACUGCAGGGUGGUGCCUGUGGUGGAAAACGAUUUUCUAGUGGUUGGGGAUGAGCUCGCGGCCUAUCAGCUUGUUGGUGGGGUAAUGGCCUACCAAGGCGGCGACGGGUAGCCGGCCUGAGAGGGUGGACGGCCACAUUGGGACUGGGAUACGGCCCAGACUCCUACGGGAGGCAGCAGUGGGGAAUAUUGCACAAUGGGCGGAAGCCUGAUGCAGCGACGCCGCGUGGGGGAUGACGGCCUUCGGGUUGUAAACUCCUUUCGACCGCGAGGAAGCCACCUGGUUGGAAGGGUGGUGACGGUAGUGGUAGAAGAAGCACCGGCUAACUACGU
RNAcentral lists this ribosomal RNA (493 nucleotides) under uncultured bacterium. Its description in RNAcentral is "partial 16S ribosomal RNA". It matches the Rfam family "Bacterial small subunit ribosomal RNA", at positions 28 to 506 of the family's 1533-position model. The record is from RNAcentral.